UUCAUUCAAAUUUCUGCCCUAUCAACUUUCGAUGGUAGGAUAGGGGCCUACCAUGGUUUUUACGGGUAACGGGGAAUUAGGGUUCGAUUCCGGAGAGGGAGCCUGAGAAAUGGCUACCACAUCCAAGGAGGGCAGCAGGCGCGCAAAUUACCCAAUGCCGACACGGCGAGGUAGUGACAGUAAAUAACAAUGUGGGGGCGUAUGCCUUCGCAAUUGGAAUGAGUACAAUUUAAAUCCCUUAACGAGUAACGAUUGGAGGGCAAGUCUGGUGCCAGCAGCCGCGGUAAUUCCAGCUCCAAUAGCGUAUAUUAAAGUUGUUGCAGUUAAAACGCUCGUAGUCUGAUGUAAUGGGUUCUUUGCUGGGGAGCAGCAAUGUUCUUUGGUGCGGGGCCCAUCAGUGGGACAGCAAUGUCCCGGUUUACUUUGAGGAAAUUAGGGUGUUCAAAGCAGGCGAAUGCUUGAAUACUGCAGCAUGGAAUAAUGGAAUAGGACUCGCGUCUUAUUUUGUUGGUUUGGAGAUGUGAGUAAUGAUGAAUAGGGACAGUUAGGGGCAUUGGUAUUCAGUAGUCAGAGGUGAAAUUCUUGGAUUUACUGAAGACUAACUAGUGCGAAAGCAUUUGCCAAGGAUGUUUUCAUUGAUCAAGAACGAAAGUUAGGGGAUCGAAGACGAUUAGAUACCGUCGUAGUCUUAACCAUAAACGAUGCCGACUAGGGAUCGGCGGAGGACGUUUAGCGUUGCCGCCGGGACCUUGCGAGAAAUCAAAGUUUUUGGGUUCUGGGGGGAGUAUGGUCGCAAGGCUGAAACUUAAAGGAAUUGACGGAAGGGCACCACCAGGAGUGGAGCCUGCGG
Molecule: ribosomal RNA, 850 nt
Filed under: uncultured fungus
Lineage: Eukaryota; Fungi
Description: SSU rRNA
Rfam family: Eukaryotic small subunit ribosomal RNA
Source: RNAcentral